ACCGAAAUAUGCCUUACAGCUCAAGGGAUGAUAUCUUUUCGGCUGGUGCAAUGGAAAAUCCCGGUGCGGGUGCUGCUUACCAGCUGGCGCUAGUGGUAACUGAGUGCUUUUGCUUUUGCCCCAAUACCUGAGAAUUUAUUGCUUAUGUAUCUAGUCAUUUCAUGGAUUUGGACGCGGGGCACGGUUGAGCAUGGCUUGGACAGGGUAAAUGGGUUUGUCAAUUGAGGUUACAUUUGCUGAGCACAAAGUGGUUAGUUAGAAAUAGGUAGGGUUAGAUAAUUCAGCCAAGUUAAAGGGGUAUACUAUGUAGAGCUUGGGUUUGGAACCAACAUCAUUCAUAGUAUGUACCUCUAGAGGCUGUCAACCUUGUUUUAUUGUCUCAUCCUGUCCCAUUCUGUCCCAUGGAAAGGACAUACCGUUGAACAAUGUUUGAAUUUUCAGCCG
Molecule: small RNA, 444 nt
Filed under: Histoplasma capsulatum var. duboisii H88
Lineage: Eukaryota; Fungi; Ascomycota; Eurotiomycetes; Onygenales; Ajellomycetaceae
Description: Histoplasma capsulatum H88 hypothetical RNA
Source: RNAcentral